Molecule: long non-coding RNA, 841 nt
Organism: Thunnus maccoyii (southern bluefin tuna)
Lineage: Eukaryota; Metazoa; Chordata; Actinopteri; Scombriformes; Scombridae
Exons: 3
Source: RefSeq, a predicted model, not a curated record
UGAGGGGAAAUGACCGUCCUCAUCACCACUCCUGGCCACUUUGCCUCUGCACUGUGAAGCCAUCUGUCACGCCUUGCUGGCAGUAAUCAUUCACUGUCCAGGGCUCUCAGGCUCUUUACAGGUAGAAGCCAUGUAGGCUCUGAUAGGACCAUCUGUGGGCGUGGCGACAUGUGGCAGCUCCUGUUUGGAUUGAAGUUGGUAGACUUGUUUCUCAACUCACCAGCUCUACAGACACUCCGCCUUUCAUUUCUGCUUUGCAACAUUUCAAAGUGAAGAGAUUCACCAAUUUGACGAGUAGAAGAGAGCUUAAAAGAACAUGUGGAAGGAUGAGAGGCAAGAGUCCGUGUGUUGACACUAAUUAGCGAGCGAAGGAACUGGAAAAAGGCUUUGAAAAAGUCUGGAAUUUCAAAGGUAAAAUGCAGCCAUCAGAUGUAACGGGACAGAAACAACUUGAAAGAAGCUCUAAGUGCACUUACAGAUCUGGAUGCCAACAUUCUGAGCAAAGAUAUUCAAAGACAGAGAGGAGGGCAAGCAGCAGAUGGCCAAAGUUUACUGUAGGUCUCACUUCAUUUCUCAUUUUUUGACUUUCGCAUAACUCAGUAAUUGAAUCCAGAUUGCCAGAACUUCAAGAAAAUGUUGGCUACAAACACCGAUCUACCACAGGGCCUCAAGCACUUCAGCGGAAGACAAAUGAGAUUAACAAGACACAAAGACUUCUGCCUCUUUCUAAUGUACAGGCUGACUUUGUUACAGCAAUGUUAUUUAGUUCAGUUGACUUUGUCCUAUACAGUAUUUCAUAAAUGCCAAGUUAAAAGUGCAGUGGGUAGCUUCUCAUUGCUAA